This 743-nucleotide long non-coding RNA is filed under the name Neodiprion lecontei (redheaded pine sawfly). RNAcentral's name for it is "uncharacterized LOC124295003, transcript variant X2". Lineage: Eukaryota; Metazoa; Arthropoda; Insecta; Hymenoptera; Diprionidae. The record is from RNAcentral.
AGACUGACCGGCGCGGAACCCCUGCGUUGGCAAAUUCCGUGCCGGCAGUAGGACGUGAGCCGUAACAACGAUACGGCAAAGUGACAAACGAACUGACUGACGGGGACUCACAAAACAGACACGUAAUAAAUAGGACAGUAGAGCAAGGGCGACGGGAGCGGAGAUGUGGGGCCGACAGGCCGGCGAGGAGCAUGCGAGUGCAAGCCCCGAGCCGACAGUAGGUCAAACCACGGGCCAGGCGAGGGAGGUUAUGACAACAAGCCGGCCACAGAGACGAGGUGAAGUAAUGCGAAAGCGGUUCCGCCUCGUCCUGGGUGAUGAGCGGCGGAGGGGUUUUAGCCGGUACAAAUCCGGCACUAUCCGAAGACACCAACUUGAACUUCCGGAUGUUUUUUUGAAGAUUUUCCAUUCGCCGCUACUAGAAAAAAAAAGGGGGAAAAAAAACCGGUAGGGUAGGGUAGGGUAGGGUGACAAAAAAGAGAAACCAAAUACAAAAUAGUAAUAGCCCUUUGCCGCAGCAUAGAACCAUACAAGAUUCCUAGUAUUUCACGACAGUGAUACCUUAUCACAUGGACAGUGGCCCACCUGAUAAUCAAGCUUUACAAGUCCUCAUUAAGAUAUUGAAGGCUAUUAAUGAGGAUAGUCCAACGGUGCCCACAUUAUUAACGGACUACAUAUUGAAAGUUCUGUGCCCCACCUAGGGAUCCACUAGUACAUAUCCUCCGACGUGACAUCGCUGUGCU